CGCUGGCGGCGUGCCUAACACAUGCAAGUCGAACGGGACUUAAGGGGCUUGCUCCUUAAGUUUAGUGGCGAACGGGUGAGUAACGCGUGGGUAACCUGCCUUAUGCAGGGGGAUAACAGUUAGAAAUGACUGCUAAUACCGCAUAAGCGCACAGUAUCGCAUGAUACAGUGUGAAAAGAUUUAUCAGCAUAGGAUGGACCCGCGUCUGAUUAGCUAGUUGGUGAGGUAACGGCUCACCAAGGCGACGAUCAGUAGCCGACUUGAGAGAGUGAUCGGCCACAUUGGGACUGAGACACGGUCCAGACUCCUACGGGAGGCAGCAGUGAGGAAUAUUGGUCAAUGGUCGGAAGACUGAACCAGCCAAGUAGCGUGAAGGAUGAAGGUUCUAUGGAUUGUAAACUUCUUUUAUACGGGAAUAAAACCUCCCACGUGUGGGAGCUUGUAUGUACCGUAUGAAUAAGCAUCGGCUAAUUCCGUG
RNAcentral lists this ribosomal RNA (478 nucleotides) under uncultured bacterium. RNAcentral describes it as "bacterial SSU rRNA". It matches the Rfam family "Bacterial small subunit ribosomal RNA", at positions 34 to 507 of the family's 1533-position model. The record is from RNAcentral.